AACAUACCUAAAACGUUGCUUCGGCGGGAACAGACGGCCCCGUAACACGGGCCGCCCCCGCCAGAGGACCCCCUAACUCUGUUUCUAUUAUGUUUCUUCUGAGUAAAACAAGCAAAUAAAUUAAAACUUUCAACAACGGAUCUCUUGGCUCUGGCAUCGAUGAAGAACGCAGCGAAAUGCGAUAAGUAAUGUGAAUUGCAGAAUUCAGUGAAUCAUCGAAUCUUUGAACGCACAUUGCGCCCGCCAGUAUUCUGGCGGGCAUGCCUGUUCGAGCGUCAUUACAACCCUCAGGCCCCCGGGCCUGGCGUUGGGGAUCGGCGAGGCGCCCCCUGCGGGCACACGCCGUCCCCCAAAUACAGUGGCGGUCCCGCCGCAGCUUCCAUUGCGUAGUAGCUAACACCUCGCAACUGGAGAGCGGCGCGGCCACGCCGUAAAACACCCAACUUCUGAA
This 451-nucleotide unclassified non-coding RNA is filed under the name Fusarium keratoplasticum. Its description in RNAcentral is "sequence contains 18S rRNA gene, ITS1, 5.8S rRNA gene, ITS2, 28S rRNA gene". The stretch from base 125 to 278 matches the Rfam family "5.8S ribosomal RNA". Lineage: Eukaryota; Fungi; Ascomycota; Sordariomycetes; Hypocreales; Nectriaceae. The record is from RNAcentral.